RNAcentral lists this ribosomal RNA (249 nucleotides) under uncultured bacterium. Its description in RNAcentral is "partial 16S ribosomal RNA". It matches the Rfam family "Bacterial small subunit ribosomal RNA", at positions 29 to 255 of the family's 1533-position model. The record is from RNAcentral.
AGCGAACGCUGGCGGCGUGCCUAACACAUGCAAGUCGAGCGAAGGCAUGAGUGUAGCAAUACACUUAUGUACUUAGCGGCGGACGGGUGAGUAACACGUGGAUAAUCUGCCCUGAGGACCGGGACAACUCUGGGAAACCGGAGCUAAUACCGGAUGUGACCACGAUGUCUGAGGACGUUGAGGUAAAAGGGUGGCCUGCAAGGGCUAUUGCCUUGGGGAUGAGUUCACGACCCAUCAGGUAGUUGGGGG